RNAcentral lists this ribosomal RNA (468 nucleotides) under uncultured bacterium. RNAcentral's name for it is "partial 16S ribosomal RNA". It matches the Rfam family "Bacterial small subunit ribosomal RNA", at positions 28 to 507 of the family's 1533-position model. The record is from RNAcentral.
GACGAACGCUGGCGGCGUGCUUAACACAUGCAAGUCGAACGGAAAGGCCCUGAUUUUGUGGGGUGCUUGUGUGGCGAACGGGUGAGUAACACGUGAGUAACAUGCCCUUGUCUUUGGGAUAACUCCAGGAAACUGGGGCUCAUACCGGGUAGGAGCUCCUGCUGCACGGUGGGGGUUGGUAAGUUUCGGCGGUUGGGGCUGGACUCGCGGGUUAUCCGCUUGUUGGUGGGGUAGUUACUUACCAAGGCUUUGACGGGUAGCCGGCCUGAGCGGGUGACCGGCCACAAGGGGACUGAGAGACGGCGCAGACGCCUACGGGAGGCAGCAGUGGGGAAUAUUACACAAUGGGCGGAAGCCUGAUACAGCAACGCCGCGUUCGGGAUGACGGCCUUCGAGUUGUAAACCGCUUUCGCCUGUAACGAAGCGUGAGUGACGGUAAUGAGUAAAGAAGCACCGGCUAACUACGUG